RNAcentral lists this ribosomal RNA (106 nucleotides) under Olea europaea subsp. europaea. The record is from RNAcentral. Lineage: Eukaryota; Viridiplantae; Streptophyta; Magnoliopsida; Lamiales; Oleaceae.
UCAACAACUCCAGGCUUAAGCUAUUUCCAGGAAAAUUGAGAUCGAGAUGGUCUGGUCCAUAUACCAUUACACAAGUAUUUCCACAUGGAGCGGUUGAGAUCACUCA